This 365-nucleotide long non-coding RNA is filed under the name Hordeum vulgare. Its description in RNAcentral is "long non-coding RNA (HVUL_LNC021026)". The record is from RNAcentral. Lineage: Eukaryota; Viridiplantae; Streptophyta; Magnoliopsida; Poales; Poaceae.
UAUCUGUGUUUCACUACAUAUCAGUUAUGUCGCCCUAACUUUAGUAAAAAUACUUAUAUGCAACUUUUUUAUGUGUACACUACUCUGUUUAAAUUAUGAUCACUAGUGAUGAUUAUAAUUUGGUGUUAUUGGAUUCUAAAGGACCAUUUUUUGUAGGCUACUGGUAUGUUGUUGCAUCGCAAAUCUGGAUGACCAUGUUCCCCUAUGAUAUUUGGAUACUAUAUAAAUUGCCACCGAGGUCACCAGAGUUGAGUCGUGCACUAUGGAAGAUGGGUUGUGGUGGACCUGCAAAAAGCGAGCGGACGAGCGGCCAUGUCUGGGGGUGUUUGGGGCUUGCUUGUAAUUUCUUUUUAUCUUUACAGGGA